UACCAGCUCUCCGAGUGGUAGGGAUGAUUAUUGGGCUUAAAGCGUCCGUAGCCGGCUUAGCAAGUCUCCUGUUAAAUUCAGCGACCUAAUCGUUGAGCCGCGGGAGAUACUAUUAGGCUAGGAGGCGGGAGAGGUCGACGGUACUUCUGGGGUAGGGGUGAAAUCCUAUAAUCCUUGGAGGACCACCAGUGGCGAAGGCGGUCGACUAGAACGUGCCUGACGGUGAGGGACGAAAGCUGGGGGAGCGAACCGGAUUAGAUACCCGGGUAGUCCCAGCUGUAAACGAUGCGAGCUAGGUGUUGGGGUGGCUACGUGCCACUUCAGUGCCGCAGGGAAGCCAUUAAGCUCGCCGCCUGGGGAGUACGGCCGCAAGGCUGAAACUUAAAGGAAUUGGCGGGGGAGCACCACAAGGCGUGAAGCUUGCGGUUC
This 429-nucleotide ribosomal RNA is filed under the name uncultured archaeon. RNAcentral describes it as "bacterial SSU rRNA". It matches the Rfam family "Archaeal small subunit ribosomal RNA", at positions 474 to 903 of the family's 1478-position model. The record is from RNAcentral.